Molecule: ribosomal RNA, 274 nt
Filed under: uncultured bacterium
Lineage: Bacteria
Description: partial 16S ribosomal RNA
Rfam family: Bacterial small subunit ribosomal RNA
Source: RNAcentral
AUACGGAGGGUGCAAGCGUUACUCGGAAUCACUGGGCGUAAAGCGCGCGCAGGCGGCUAUUUAAGUUGGAUGUGAAAGCCUAUGGCUCAACCAUAGAACUGCAUCCAAAACUAUUUAGCUAGAGUGUGGGAGAGGAAGAUGGAAUUAGUUGUGUAGGGGUAAAAUCCGUAGAGAUAACUAGGAAUACCAAAAGCGAAGGCAAUCUUCUGGAACACUACUGACGCUGAGGCGCGAAAGCGGGGGGAGCAAACAGGAUUAGAAACCCUAGUAGUCC